GAUGAACGCUGGCGGCGUGCCUAAUACAUGCAAGUCGAGCGAACAGACGAGGAGCUUGCUCCUUUGACGUUAGCGGCGGACGGGUGAGUAACACGUGGGUAACCUACCUAUAAGACUGGGAUAACUUCGGGAAACCGGAGCUAAUACCGGAUAAUAUUUCGAACCGCAUGGUUCGAUAGUGAAAGAUGGCUUUGCUAUCACUUAUAGAUGGACCUGCGCCGUAUUAGCUAGUUGGUAAGGUAACGGCUUACCAAGGCAACGAUACGUAGCCGACCUGAGAGGGUGAUCGGCCACACUGGAACUGAGACACGGUCCAGACCCCUACGGGAGGCAGCAGUAGGGAAUCUUCCGCAAUGGGCGAAAGCCUGACGGAGCAACGCCGCGUGAGUGAUGAAGGUCUUCGGAUCGUAAAACUCUGUUAUUAGGGAAGAACAAACGUGUAAGUAACUGUGCACGUCUUGACGGUACCUAAUCAGAAAGCCACGGCUAACUACGUG
RNAcentral lists this ribosomal RNA (497 nucleotides) under uncultured bacterium. RNAcentral's name for it is "partial 16S ribosomal RNA". It matches the Rfam family "Bacterial small subunit ribosomal RNA", at positions 28 to 507 of the family's 1533-position model. The record is from RNAcentral.